AGUUGCCGAGAAGUGUCGUUGAGUUCAUGUUUCUAAUUCUGCAAUAAUAUAUUUAUUCAUUUUUUUCAUUUUAAACAGAAAUUCAGUGAGAUUUAUAGUAAUUUGAAGGAGUUACGGCAUAUUUACGAAAUGAUAUUUCGUAAAUUUGGAAUUAAUUAAACUACAAUAAGAGCCAUUUCAUUGUCGUACCAUGUCCAUUUUCUAUAAACAACGCAGAAGCUAUCAAAGAGCAGCGAGUAGAAGUCGUCAGGUUUGUGCAGUAUACGAAUGGCGUGGUAGAACUCGAUUUCUGCCGCGAUAUCUUUAUAUUGGUGAACAUAAUCGUUAUAAAAAUUUGGUGUCCACUCGCAAAAACCAAAAUUUGGUUUUUGAUACUAUACAAUUCUACUCUCUUGAACUAGAGACAAAAUAAUGCUGUUCUAAUGGAAAUGCAAAUUGGUGCCUAGGCAACAGUAUGGACUUGACAUCAUUUAUUGCUGAUACAUGAAGGAUUUCAAUCUUACUGAUUCUGAUGGAUCCUAAAUCAACUGGGUUGUUUGUGCCACUAGAUAUAAAAUUCAUUUGGUCUACUGAGGUAUGAAUGCCAACUGAUACAAGGUUAGUCACUAAACCACAAAUUUUAUGCAUGUGUCAAAUACUGCAUGGAGUAUAUCAAGAUUUAUGAAAAUUGACACAAAGAUUUCCCAAUAGUUUAUACAUUUUUGAAAAGAUAAGUUUAUUGCUUAUAUUAACAUCUUGUUGUACAAUUUAUUUGUCA
Molecule: long non-coding RNA, 757 nt
Organism: Megachile rotundata (alfalfa leafcutting bee)
Lineage: Eukaryota; Metazoa; Arthropoda; Insecta; Hymenoptera; Megachilidae
Source: RefSeq, a predicted model, not a curated record